Molecule: ribosomal RNA, 498 nt
Filed under: uncultured bacterium
Lineage: Bacteria
Description: partial 16S ribosomal RNA
Rfam family: Bacterial small subunit ribosomal RNA
Source: RNAcentral
GACGAACGCUGGCGGCGUGCCUAAUACAUGCAAGUCGAACGAGAGCAACCGGUGCUUGCCCAGGUCAAUCUAGUGGCGAACGGGUGAGUAACACGUGGGUAACCUGCCCAUCAGAGGGGGAUAACAUCCGGAAACGGAUGCUAAAACCGCAUAGGUCUUCGAACCGCAUGGUUUGAAGAGGAAAAGAGGCGCAAGCUUCUGCUGAUGGAUGGACCCGCGGUGCAUUAGCUAGUUGGUGAGGUAACGGCUCACCAAGGCCGUGAUGCAUAGCCGACCUGAGAGGGUGAUCGGCCACAUUGGGACUGAGACACGGCCCAAACUCCUACGGGAGGCAGCAGUAGGGAAUCUUCCGCAAUGGACGCAAGUCUGACGGAGCAACGCCGCGUGAGUGAAGAAGGUUUUCGGAUCGUAAAACUCUGUUGUUAGAGAAGAACAAGUGCUAGAGUAACUGUUAGCGCCUUGACGGUAUCUAACCAGAAAGCCACGGCUAACUACGUG